RNAcentral lists this ribosomal RNA (440 nucleotides) under uncultured bacterium. RNAcentral describes it as "partial 16S ribosomal RNA". It matches the Rfam family "Bacterial small subunit ribosomal RNA", at positions 338 to 795 of the family's 1533-position model. The record is from RNAcentral.
CCUACGGGAGGCAGCAGUAGGGAAUAUUGGUCAAUGGGCGAAACCCUGAAGCAGCAAAGCCGCGUGGAGGAUGAAGGUUCUAGGAUUCGUAAAUCCUUUUUUUAGGGAAGAUUAUGACGGUAUCUAACGCAUAAGCACCGGCUAACUCCGUGCCAGCAGCCGCGGUAAUACGGCGGGUGCAGGCGUUACCCGGAAUCACUGGGCGUAAAGGGUGCGUAGGGGGGGUAAUAAGUCAGAGGUGAAAUCCUGUAGCUUAACUAGAGAACUGCAGUUGAAACUGUUAAUCUGGAGUGUGGUAGAGGUAGGCGGAAUUCUUGGUGUAGGGGUAAAAUCCGUAGAGAUCAAGAGGAAUACUCAUUGCGAAGGCGACCUGCUGGAACAUGACUGACGCUGAUGCACGAAAGCGUGGGGAGCAAACAGGAUUAGAUACCCGGGUAGUC